CCGGGGCACUGCGUCCCUCGGAGCCCCGGAGAGCUGCAGGGCGGGUCUUUGUCGCGUUGAGACAAAGCCGCUGAACCUGGGCUGUCGCCUGUGCAGGUGCGCGGGCUCGUUCGCGGGAGGCGUGCGCUGGGGGAGCGGGCUUCCUGCACGAGGUCGCCGCUCAGGGGUUGAUUGGACGGAAUCUCGCGACACCCCAGGCACUGGCGCUUGUGCCGGAUCCACGUGAGAGUUCUCCGGAUUUUCACCAUUAAAAUGGUGAAUUAAAUGUUCAUGCUGGUUCAUCCUUUCCCAUGAUGUAGUGUGCACAGGACCCUGAUUUGCAGCUCUGCUGUUUCUGUUUAUUGAAAGCAUCUACCUUACAGGACUGCCAGUACUGGAGCAUUACCCUAACUGGCCAUGAAUACAACUAUUGACAGGACCGAGGAUUAUGGAUUUUUGCAUCUCCAGAUCCGUACGUGGAUUCUGUGAGAUGGUCCCCCAUUUGCCCCGCACCGUUUGGUGAAUGCUCCAUGUUUUCUCCGUUGACAUGAAACGCCUCCCAGGAGAUUCUUGGGCAGACUUCAUGGCUUCUGAGCUGAGCUUGUGGUGACAGUGGUUCCUCUUUGUGAAACCUCUCCAGGCGGGCAGAGACCUCAAACACGCCACUGAGAGCUGCAAACAAGUCAAACCUGCACCAGUACCGGCGUAUGUGAGGUCUCCAAAUUGCAGCCUGGAAUGAUACUUUACUCCGUCAACAUGUGAGGAAGACCCGAACUUAAUAUUUGCAAAGCACUUUGAACUAUGGAGAAGAAAGGUGCUAUGUAAUCCUCGUGUUAUCUUUUAGAUUUUGAGCAUGUUACUGUGACAUCAGCAUCCUAGGCUUAAUGAAGUUUUAUUUCAGCUAAUAUAAGUUCAUCCUUCUGUGUUCAACUAGCUGUGAAACCAAGCCACUGGGUGUGGAUUAUGAGGGCUGAAGUUUUGGGGGGUGGGGUGAAAUUUUUCAGAAUUCGUGAUAGCAUAUAAGACCACUGAAGCCGGUUUACCUGCCUUCUAUCUACAAGGAUGCUUUUUAAACUAGGACACACAUCUAUUGUUCAGUGAUAAUUAUAGUGAUAAUGCUGACACUAAGAUACUGCAAAAUCCUGCUGCACCUUUUGAAUUAAGUUCUGAAUCAUCAAAAAUAAUUAUAAGUUUCAAGACAAUUUGGCUGUGUUCCUUAAUGGUUAGGAGUUUUGUUUAAGACACAGACAAGGGUGAAUUUAAUCUUGAGUCUUCCACCUUUUAUCUGAGUAACUUUGAGCAAGCAUCCCAACUUCUGUAAGCUUUAAUUUCUCAUAUAUAAAAUGGUAAUGAUAAUAGUACUUAUUGUUAUAGGGAUUAAUAAGAAAAUCCAUUUAAAGCAAAAUAAGGCACUUCCUGUCUGACUGGCAAAGAUCAAAAAGAUCAAUAACACCUCUGGAGGUGGCCGUCUGGUGGAGAGAGGUGUGCUGCUCAAGGGGGUGUAUAUCGAUAUAGCUACCACAUAAAACAGUUUACAGUACCUAUCAAUAUCUAUCAAAUGCACACACACACCUCUACCAGCACUUCCUCUAGCUGGAAUUUAUU
This is a long non-coding RNA of Lagenorhynchus albirostris (white-beaked dolphin), 1584 nucleotides long. RefSeq lists it as uncharacterized. Lineage: Eukaryota; Metazoa; Chordata; Mammalia; Artiodactyla; Delphinidae. The record is from RefSeq and is a predicted model, not a curated record. The transcript has 5 exons.